UACGUAGGGACCAAGCGUUGUUCGGAUUUACUGGGCGUAAAGGGCGCGUAGGCGGCAAUUCAAGUCAUCUGUGAAAUCUCCGAGCUUAACUCGGAACGGUCAGAUGAUACUGCUUUGCUAGAGUGCAGAAGGGGCAACCGGAAUUCUUGGUGUAGCGGUGAAAUGCGUAGAUAUCAAGAGGAACACCGGAGGUGAAGACGGGUUGCUGGGCUGACACGUGACGCUGAGGCGCGAAAGCUAGGGUAGCAAACGGG
Molecule: ribosomal RNA, 254 nt
Filed under: uncultured bacterium
Lineage: Bacteria
Description: partial 16S ribosomal RNA
Rfam family: Bacterial small subunit ribosomal RNA
Source: RNAcentral